GACGAACGCUGGCGGCGUGCUUAACACAUGCAAGUCGAACGAUGAAGCCGGAGCUUGCUCCGGUGGAUUAGUGGCGAACGGGUGAGUAACACGUGAGCAAUCUGCCCUUGACUCUGGGAUAACUGCGGGAAACUGUAGCUAAUACCGGAUACGACACCUUGGGGCAUCCCAGGGUGUGGAAAGAAUUUCGGUCAAGGAUGAGCUCGCGGCCUAUCAGCUAGUUGGUGAGGUAAUGGCUCACCAAGGCGACGACGGGUAGCCGGCCUGAGAGGGUGACCGGCCACACUGGAACUGAGACACGGUCCAGACUCCUACGGGAGGCAGCAGUGGGGAAUAUUGCACAAUGGGCGAAAGCCUGAUGCAGCAACGCCGCGUGAGGGAUGAAGGCCUUCGGGUUGUAAACCUCUUUUAGCAGGGAAGAAGCGAAAGUGACAGUACCUGCAGAAAAGGCACCGGCUAACUACGUGCCAGCCGCCGCAGUAA
RNAcentral lists this ribosomal RNA (483 nucleotides) under uncultured bacterium. Its description in RNAcentral is "partial 16S ribosomal RNA". It matches the Rfam family "Bacterial small subunit ribosomal RNA", at positions 28 to 523 of the family's 1533-position model. The record is from RNAcentral.